This 414-nucleotide ribosomal RNA is filed under the name uncultured bacterium. Its description in RNAcentral is "bacterial SSU rRNA". It matches the Rfam family "Bacterial small subunit ribosomal RNA", at positions 612 to 1026 of the family's 1533-position model. The record is from RNAcentral.
ACUCUGGAAUGGCCUUUGAGACUAGAGGACUUGGGUACGGGAGAGGUGAGUGGAAUUCCGAGUGUAGAGGUGAAAUUCGUAGAUAUUCGGAAGAACACCAGUGGCGAAGGCGGCUCACUGGCCCGUUACCGACGCUCAGGCGCGACAGCGUGGGGAGCAAACAGGAUUAGAUACCCUGGUAGUCCACGCCGUAAACGAUGGAUGCUAGCCGUUGGCAAGCAUGCUUGUCAGUGGCGCAGCUAACGCAUUAAGCAUCCCGCCUGGGGAGUACGGCCGCAGGGUUGAAACUCAAAGGAAUUGACGGGGGCCCGCACAAGCGGUGGAGCAUGUGGUUUAAUUCGACGCAACGCGCAGAACCUUACCAGGCCUUGACAUCCCGUGCUACGCUCAGAAAUGGGCGGUCCCCGCAAGGGG